Molecule: long non-coding RNA, 1642 nt
Filed under: Sus scrofa (pig)
Lineage: Eukaryota; Metazoa; Chordata; Mammalia; Artiodactyla; Suidae
Description: lncRNA (ENSSSCG00030033337.1)
Source: RNAcentral
AUGGCAGGAAACCUGAGGGGAAUGAAUUCUACGGCAUUUAGAGAGAUGUUUGGCAUAUUCAGACAUGGUUGUUUUAAUCCAAAGUUUAAGAAAGAUGGGGACCGGGAGGGAGACUAUACAAAGAAGACAGGAAGUCAGACUGUCACUGGUGUGGCACGGGUUCGACUCCUGGCCAGGGAAGCUUCACAUGCUGCAGGCGCGGCCACAAGGAAAAAAGGAAGAGAAAGGAGGACGUCAGAACCUCUACUGGACUGUACAGGCAAGGAGACUGGCCUGCCUUGGAGGGUCCGUCCCUGGACCGUCUGGACACAGGCCCGCGUUUGCGAGAUGAAGCCCUCGUGGUUCCCAGACCCGAGUCCGCACCCCGCUCUUCCUGUAACCCGUCCAUUAAAUGGAGUUCCGGCCCUUGGACUGUGGGUCCCAAGCUUUUCGCCAUUUUUCCACUGGGGGCGCCUCUGUCCAGUGCAGUCCUUACACUGGCUCAACAGCAGUUGCUCGACGUAUAAAUGGGCGUUAGGCCAGCGGUUUUUUGUUGGCAUGUCUGUAUGCAUGUCCCUCUGUAUGUAUAUGCGUAUGCAUUUUGGCCCCUCCGUCAGCGUGCAGAAGUUCCCCAGGCCAGAGAUGGAACCUGUGCCACAGUAGUGACGAUGCCAAAUCCUCAACCCACUAAGCCACCAGGAAACUCCCAGGCCAAAGCUUCAAAAGGAUGGGGUGCUGGGGUCAUGUGGGAGCACGUUCCAGAAAAGCCAUAUCGACACGUCAGGCGGGUCCUACAUCCUCAGACUGCAGGAGACUUGGGUCUGCGCAUGUCCUUUCAAGUCUUGGAGGGGCCUCUGCUGCAGCCUUUCCCAGACCUGCUUGACCCUGACCCCUUUGAUUUCAUGUGGAAUCUCACGGGUCUUGCAUUCCUUGCUGGAUUGGGGGAGAUCUGCUUUCAAGGCCCCUGCAAGUUAGAUAAUCCACACACACAAAAAGGCAAAGGCAAAUCCAUCAUGCCUCUGGAGGUAUCCCGUUCCAAAAUAUUAUUAACCAAGUGUUUUAAUUGCUUGUCUUGGUGCCAUGUCUUUGACACCUAGACUCACCUCCUAUUGGGGGAACUUCCCUGUUCCCGGCAGCCAGGAUUCAGGGGUCAAGGGGGAGUGGACAGGGCAGAGCAGUGACCCAUCCAAAGACAUUCAAGUUUAGGGAGUUCCCGUUGUGGCUCAGCGGUAAUGAACCUGACUAGUAUCCAUGAGGAUGCAGGUUCGAUCCCUGGCCUCUUUCAGUGGGUUAAGACUCUGGUGUUGCUUUGAGCUUCGGUGUGGGUCACAGACCUGGCUGGGAUCUGGUGUGGCUGCUGUGGCUGUGGCUGUGGGGUAGGCUGGCAGCUGCAGCUCUGAUUUGACCCUGAACCUGGGAACUUCCACAUGCAAAGGGUGCGACCCUAAAAGAAAAAAAAAAAAAAAGACAUUCUUUCAGGUUCAGCCCCUCAGGAGGGAAAGAACACGGAGGGCUUUGAGACCUUCUGAUGUGAGGAAGCACAGGAAGGAUUCCAGAGGCUUCUCUCCCCACCACCCCCUUCUCCACUCAUCCUUUUAUACUGCGUUUAUUUCCUCCAGCGAGUUGAGAAUGAAACCGUUUACCCCCUGCUUGCCUCAAAGGA